This is a long non-coding RNA of Oncorhynchus tshawytscha (Chinook salmon), 1374 nucleotides long. Lineage: Eukaryota; Metazoa; Chordata; Actinopteri; Salmoniformes; Salmonidae. The record is from Ensembl.
CUGGACAGUCCAUGUCCUUACAACAGGCUGGACAGUCCAUGUCCUUUUAACAGGCUGGACAGUCCAUGUCCUUACAACAGGCUGGACAGUCCAUGUCCUUACAACAGGCUGGACAGUCCAUGUCCUUUUAACAGGCUGGACAGUCCAUGUCCUUACAACAGGCUGGACCAUCCAUGUCCUUACAACAGGCUGGACAGUCCAUGUCCUUACAACAGGCUGGACCAUCCAUGUCCUUACAACAGGCUGGACCAUCCAUGUCCUUACAACAGCAUGUAGAAGUCUGAUGUCCCUUUAUACCACAGGCUGGACAGUCCAUGUCCUUACAACAGGCUGGACAGUCCAUGUCCUUACAACAGGCUGGACAGUCCAUGUCCUUACAACAGGCUGGACAGUCCAUGUCCUUACAACAGGCUGGACAGUCCAUGUCCUUACAACAGGAUGGACAGUCCAUGUCCUUACAACAGGCUGGACAGUCCAUGUCCUUACAACAGGCUGGACAGUCCAUGUCCUUACAACAGGCUGGACAGUCCAUGUCCUUACAACAGGCUGGACAGUCCAUGUCCUUACAACAGGCUGGACAGUCCAUGUCCUUACAACAGGCUGGACAGUCCAUGUCCUUACAACAGGAUGGACAGUCCAUGUCCUUACAACAGCAGGUAGAAGUCUGAUGUCCCUUUAUACCACAGGCUGGACAGUCCAUGUCCUUACAACAGGCUGGACAGUCCAUCUCCUUACAACAGGCUGGACAGUCCAUGUCCUUACAACAGGCUGGACAGUCCAUGUCCUUACAACAGCAGGUAGAAGUCUAAUGUCCCUUUUUGGGAACCCACUAAGUUACUUAUGAACUCAAUCUGAACCUUUAAGUAUUAACUAGUGGUUCUGGUGAAACAUGUCCUUUAAGUAUUAACUAGUGGUUCUGGUGAAACAUGUCCUUUAAGUAUUAACUAGUGGUUCUGGUGAAACAUGUCCUUUAAGUAUUAACUAGUGGUUCUGGUGAAACAGGUCCUUUAAGUAUUAACUAGUGGUUCUGGUGAAACAGGUCAUUUCAGUAUUAACUAGUGGUUCUGGUGAAACAGGUCCUUUAAGUAUCUUCACAACAUCCCCAUACAUCUUAUUACCUGUUCUGUCUGGAUGUAACAGGCUGCCUAGUAAAUUAAAUGUCUUUGGCCCCAUUACACAUGAAAAAACUAUAAGUACAAUGUUGUCCUCAUCAAUGUAACUUACAAUAACAAAAUAUUCAAACCGUUCUGUAUAUGAGGUCCUCUGGUCAAUACUUUCAUCAAACUGUUCAAUGUUUCCAACAAUUCACACCAUGUUUUUCAUUUCUCAAUAGGCUCAUGAUUGUCCUCAACCACAGCAAUAUUUUCCUCAGUC